RNAcentral lists this ribosomal RNA (429 nucleotides) under Gemmatimonadota bacterium. RNAcentral describes it as "Gemmatimonadetes bacterium partial 16S ribosomal RNA". It matches the Rfam family "Bacterial small subunit ribosomal RNA", at positions 355 to 776 of the family's 1533-position model. The record is from RNAcentral. Lineage: Bacteria; Pseudomonadati; Gemmatimonadota.
UAGGGAAUCUUCGGCAAUGGACGAAAGUCUGACCGAGCAACGCCGCGUGAGUGAAGAAGGUUUUCGGAUCGUAAAACUCUGUUGUUAGAGAAGAACAAGGACGUUAGUAACUGAACGUCCCCUGACGGUAUCUAACCAGAAAGCCACGGCUAACUACGUGCCAGCAGCCGCGGUAAUACGUAGGUGGCAAGCGUUGUCCGGAUUUAUUGGGCGUAAAGCGAGCGCAGGCGGUUUCUUAAGUCUGAUGUGAAAGCCCCCGGCUCAACCGGGGAGGGUCAUUGGAAACUGGUAGACUUGAGUGCAGAAGAGGAGAGUGAAAUUCCAUGUGUAGCGGUGAAAUGCGUAGAUAUAUGGAGGAACACCAGUGGCGAAGGCGGCUCUCUGGUCUGUAACUGACGCUGAGGCUCGAAAGCGUGGGGAGCAAACAGG